CCCCACCCACACCUCGCCUCGGCCCCCUAAGCUCCGCCCACUCCCCGCCCCUGAGGUCCGCCUGGGGCCUCGCCCUGCGAUCUAGGACUGGGGAGGACCGUGCUGGUUUCCUGGGAGGUGGAAACUGGAUUGACAGAAAUCCAGCGCGGGGAGGCUGUGCCGAGAGGAGGGACGCCCCUGCCCUGCGUCUCCCGCUCCCCAUCCCUGGCAGGUAUCCCGGUUACAGAAUGAGGGUCCGAGGUGCAACAGAAAGAAUGAGCCACUGAUACACUCAUCAGCUUGCUCGGAUCUCCCGGGGAGUUACGCUGGUGAGAGAAACCAGUUCCAAAGGUCACUCACCGACGGCGCCGCUGGUGUACUGGUAUUAUGCAAGAUGCCCCCGCAAAGGUCACGCACGGAUGGUUCAUUUAUCCAAAGAACAGAGGAGAGAAAUGCAGGACUCAUUAGCAGUGCCCAGGAGAUAGGGAGGCGGGUGGGUGUGGCUAUAAAAACGCCACCCAGGGGGUGCCUGUGAAGGAAAUCUGCGUCCCGCGGAAAGCAACACGGGGUUGGGAUACCGGACUGUCCUUUGUGAGAUGCCACCAACGGGGGAAACUGGAUGGCUCCACAGAAAAAGUUCGUUUAAAGGAAAAUGGUUUAAGGCCAAGGAAAUACCUAGAAAACGGAAAGUCUUGAAACCAGAGCCGGUGGGGAGUUAUGGGGGGCGGUGCUGGUGAACAGUUUGGGCCGACUGUCUCUUUUUCCAGGGCUUGCUGGCUUCUGCCACCUCAUUUGGCAGUCACCUGCCACUGUGACCUCCCCAAGUCCCUUCUCCAAACUCUAUAUCUUGAUUUCUGGUGUCCCGGGAUGGCCCCACUCCAACAAUAGAGCAGAAGGAAGGAAGGUUUCCCCUGUGUUUAGAACGUUCCUAACGAAAAUAACUGCAACUCUUGAUUGCACCUCCUGAGGGUCGUUGGGACUUUCCCUCUCAGAUACUUACUGGUUCAUUCAUUCGUUCAUUUUGCUUUAACUCACAGUGGCCCUCCCCAUCCUAAGGUAUACUGCUGGGAUUGUUCUAUGUGCUGAUGAUGUUCUCCUUGUCUUCAGAGGGUCUCAUUCUGUUGCCCAGUCUGGAGAGCAGCGGCGCUAUAUCUCAGCUCACUGCAACCUCCGCGUCCCGGGUUGAAGCGAUUCUGGUGCCUCAGCUUCCUGAGUAGCUGGGGCUACAGGAAAGAGAAUGCCUGUGUUUUGAAGUUCCUUCUUAGGACGAAACCAGCUGAAGCUGGCGAAAUCCAAGAUGGCACCUCUGAAAAACCUCUGGCGUCAUUAUCAUCCUCUUCUCAUGCUAAGCAACACUCCCACCAGCGCCAUGACGAUUGACGGUCGCCAUGACAACGACUGGAAGAGACCAAGAAGGGACAGAAAAAAAGGGGUUCCUUGAUUCCAGGAAAAUCUCUGUUCUUUCCCAAGAAAAGCGUGAAUAUUCCCCCGCUUACCCUUAAUGCCCAGCCCCUUCAUUAAAGACACCCUACGUCUGUAACUUCCCAGCUCUAACAAGCUGAUUUCAGAUCUUCCAAUUCCAUAGCCACUGAAUAAAGCCUGCACUGCUUGACA
This is a long non-coding RNA of Symphalangus syndactylus (siamang), 1593 nucleotides long. RefSeq lists it as uncharacterized. NCBI's taxonomy places the organism in Eukaryota, Metazoa, Chordata, Mammalia, Primates, Hylobatidae. The record is from RefSeq and is a predicted model, not a curated record.